Molecule: long non-coding RNA, 957 nt
Filed under: Capsicum annuum
Lineage: Eukaryota; Viridiplantae; Streptophyta; Magnoliopsida; Solanales; Solanaceae
Description: long non-coding RNA (CANN_LNC011227)
Source: RNAcentral
UGGAAUGAUAAUUGAAGCUUUUGAAGAUGGUUAGCUGAAAGAGAGUGGGUUUUCUCCCCGGACAAAUCAACCCUGUAUGGAAACACUCAUGGAUAAGGAUAACUAUCGAUGUGCUGAAGGCACAUAAUAGUUAACCCGAUGCAUAAUUUGCAUAAUUUUCAAUUUGCAUCAAUAGGCAUAGAAUUUGUCCAAAUGAUAAUACAAAAAACAGCAUGAAAAGUAAGUUAACAAGACGGUACUCAAAUGAAAAACAAUUAGAUGAAGUGAAAAAAAUAGCACCUGGAGUCUUCAAAAAAGGAAAAAAUAGAAUGGACAAAUCAACCCUGUAUGGAAACACUCAUGGAUAAGGAUAACUAUUGAUGUGCUGAAGGCACAUAAUAGUUAACCCGAUGCAUAAUUUGCAUAAUUUUCAAUUUGCAUCAAUAGGCAUAGAAUUUGUCCAAAUGAUAAUACAAAAAACAGCAUGAAAAGUAAGUUAACAAGACGGUACUCAAAUGAAAAACAAUUAGAUGAAGUGAAAAAAAUAGCACCUGGAGUCUUCAAAAAAGGAAAAAAUAGAACCUUCCAUAGAAUCGAAGAAAUCGUGAUGUGAUGGAAUUUAUAUGAAGGUACACUGUAUGAACUAAUUGAAGGUCUGAAUCAGCUUUUGAGUUUUCAUUGAGUGUGUUGGAAUUCUAAAUUGGUAAAUAGGAACACAAUGUAAACAGCGUGAAAACUGGUCGUCUAUAUACAAAGAAGGAAAACCUAAAACAUCUCUACCAAAAAAGAACUUCAACCAAACAAAUUACCCUUAAGGGGCAGUACUACUCAACACCUACGAUUGUGGGCUGUGGCAAGUGACCUGUUGGUUUAAUUGAGAAGCAAGCAAGCUAAGACCAAAUACCACCAUCUUUAAGAAAAAGAAUAACAUUAUAUAAAUUGAUAUUAGAGCUUAUAUAAGCUCUUAUUCAAGUGUGG